RNAcentral lists this ribosomal RNA (468 nucleotides) under uncultured bacterium. Its description in RNAcentral is "partial 16S ribosomal RNA". It matches the Rfam family "Bacterial small subunit ribosomal RNA", at positions 28 to 507 of the family's 1533-position model. The record is from RNAcentral.
GACGAACGCUGGCGGCGUGCUUAACACAUGCAAGUCGAACGGAAAGGCCCUGCUUUUGUGGGGUGCUCGAGUGGCGAACGGGUGAGUAACACGUGAGUAACCUGCCCUUGACUUUGGGAUAACUUCAGGAAACUGGGGCUAAUACCGGAUAGGAGCUCCUGCUGCAUGGUGGGGGUUGGAAAGUUUCGGCGGUUGGGGAUGGACUCGCGGCUUAUCAGCUUGUUGGUGGGGUAGUGGCUUACCAAGGCUUUGACGGGUAGCCGGCCUGAGAGGGUGACCGGCCACAUUGGGACUGAGAUACGGCCCAGACUCCUACGGGAGGCAGCAGUGGGGAAUAUUGCACAAUGGGCGGAAGCCCGAUGCAGCAACGCCGCGUGCGGGAUGACGGCCUUCGGGUUGUAAACCGCUUUCGCCUGUGACGAAGUGUGAGUGACGGUAAUGGGUAAAGAAGCACCGGCUAACUACGUG